Molecule: long non-coding RNA, 287 nt
Filed under: Manihot esculenta (cassava)
Lineage: Eukaryota; Viridiplantae; Streptophyta; Magnoliopsida; Malpighiales; Euphorbiaceae
Description: long non-coding RNA (MESC_LNC012554)
Source: RNAcentral
CAUAGUGUUUUUCCUGAAGCAGAGAGAAUUUGGUCUACCGUUUCCUUUUACCCCUUUCUUUGUUGAGGUCUUUGAAUACUUUGGGGUAACUCCUCGAAUGUUAUCCCCAAAUUCCAUUUUAUUCAUGUCCUGUUUCGAGUCUAUCUGUCUGGGUUGGGGUUUCGCACCUACGGCCUGUCUGUUUGUCACUUUUUUCCGCCUGGUUAGGGCGAAGCAAAACUUCUAUUACUUUUCCCCCCGUAAUGGGCUGUCUCUUCUUACGGGCUACAAGGAUUCUAUAAAGGGAU